AGAUUGUGCUUAUGUCGCUACCUCCUACGUCUACACCAGUACAAUUUCAGGUCCGUAUAUAUGGAUCAACCUGUUAUUUGUACCAUGUCACUGAUUCAUACUGGUUGUUAGAAUUUAGUUGCUUGUCAAAUGUUCAUUGUAUUAAGAAGUAUGAUGUAGCGUCUGUAUCCAAUGCAACUUGGCUAUAGCUAGCUCUGCCUGGUGAAAGCAUUCUUCCAUGCUAAGUAGCCAGUCAUUUUGCAUUUAGUUUUGUCAUAAUAUUAAUUCAGGUUCUACAGUCUGCUAGGUCAUGUUUUUUAUUUACUUAAGUUCCCAUCUAAUUGACUGAAUUAGUCACGUAUGGGAGAGCAGUCUGAAAGUUAUAACAGGGUAUGCAAUAAUAGUGUGAUUUAUGUUGCUGGAAGAACUGCCAAUGCUUUUGUCAUUUUUCAGGUUUGCUCUCCGUUCUGUUGGCAAGGGAUCUUUGGUCAUGCAUCAAUUGUAGAAUGGCAAUAGUUGAGCAUCAAGGGACAACCGAAAUUACUAUGAUGAUAUUUCAGGUAGUAAUUACUCGAACAUAAACUUUUCUUGUUCUUCUUUUUUUUCUCCUUUAUUUUGGUAUAAUGAUGUGUUGAUGCCCCCUGUCAUGUAAUUAUUCCAAGAUAGCCUGACUGUAAUAUUUCUGGGAGAAAUAUUAUUACGAAUAAAGAAAGCUUUAUUUCAGGCAUCUUAAUAUUUCAUAUCGUCCUAAUAUUACAGUCAGGCUAUCUUGGAUGAAAGACAUAGUUCGUGUGAAUCAUGACCUUCUAUGCAAUAUUUCUUUCCGUGUAAUCAUUCAUGUGUGUAUAUGUGGGUAUGUUUGUUGGUAUCUACUCACUAUAUUAUAUACCAUGUUAUUCAGAGAUCCCGGGCCCUGCGGGGAGAUCAGAGGCUGGCAGUGCAUGCAACAGGGCAUGUUAAUCAGGCAAAUUAUCAUUCAAAGACUGGGUCUAUGAUGCUUGGGGCGAAGGUCCUAUUUCUCUCAUUCCUCCCUUCCAACCCUCAACUUUCUGGAUCAUGGAUGUAAGCUGUGCACAGUCACAUUUUUUUGGUAAAUGCAUAUGAGCAAUGAAUUUGGGAGCAUUUUUAUUCUGGUGUUAGUUUGCUUGAUCUAAAUAUAUGAUGUAUUGAUCUGUACGCUGAUGAACAAUUUGGCUGAUGCAUAUUGUUCCUUAGCUGAUCUAUCUGACCACUACAGUUAUGUGGCUUGAUUGGCUUUGUGACUUGAUUACAUAUUGUGGUUCGACCAGAUUGGCUUGUGAGAUGCGAUAGUAUGCAGGGUAGUCCUAUUUUUAUUUCAAAAGCUUAGUAUUUUUUUUACAAUGGAUAGCACAACUUAGGCACGCUUCACUUGUUUGCCAACCUGUUCCCAGAAUCUUUAUUUUAGUUCCUUCCUGCAUCAGAUCUUUUUUAUCUUUAGGCUGAAUGAUAGAGUGGAGAUGUUAAGCUCCUUCAUGCUUAGAACAUGGUGAUAAGGAGAACAUCUUUUUUUAGGCUGAUUUAUUUGAGAUGUUUAAACAAUGAUUGCUACUUUCAAAUAGAUUUGAUAUGUUUCUCUGAAGUUUCAUUCAUUUCAUGUGUGUUCAGGUAUAUAUACUAGAAGUUAUUAUGGCUCACUUACAUUUAUAUCACGUCGACACAGCGGAUCAGCUGGUUAGAAUUCUGUAUAUUUUUCUUCACCUCGUGAGAGGCACAUCUUUCAACCAAGAAUUUCAUCAGUGACUAUCCUGAGGACAUGGUGAGAAUACAAUCUCAACACUUGCAUUUUCAUCUCCUUCUACCUUUUUUGUUUUUUGAGGUGUUAGAAAGCUUUGCAAGGUCCCCUUCUCAGAACAGCAGCAAGUCGUGGGAAACAGUUCUGGAUUGUGUGUGUAUGGUAGUUUGCAAGUGAAUUUGCGACUAUUUUGGUUAUUGUCCCCAAUUGAGGUUAAUUUGAAAUUGUGGAUGCACACAUGGUUUGUGUUCUUUAUCAUGGGGUAUCUGUUCUUUUGCACAUAGGUAGAAAGUGCUUGGUGGGUUUUUUCUUUUAGUUCAAUUGGCAUGGCCUACUGAUGUGUGCGCUGGUCCUGCGUGUCCUGUGUCAUGCCAGUGGCGUCAGUUUGUGAGGAUUGUUUGAUAGAACAUGCUCGUCAUAGUGUGUUGUCAGGAAGGUGUGGAUGCAAUAAGACAUGUGCCCUUUAGUUUAGUCUCGUUUUUUUUCUGGUACAUUUGAAUUAGUCUAUUAGUCCGUGUCCAUGUAUUCUUUUGUUUUUGGUUGGCACUUUCAGGUUUGUUUGCCGAGAGACAGAGAGUUGUUUGUCCAUUCACACAUGAUAAAUAGAUGGUUGGAUUUUUUUUGUGUUGGAUUGAUGCUUGUGAAAGAGUGUGGAAAGGAUAGGAUGUUUAUUGGGUUCUUUUGUUGGAUUCGGUCUCCCGAUGGUGCCAUUGUUGGUCUGGUUUGGUUAAUCCUUGCCUAUUCAUUUAUCUUAGGGAUUGGAUCGCUCACAUGGUUUGUUAGGAAGUAAAUGGAGGUUGUACACCUAUUGUGGUUGCAGUUCUGUUAAUCAAAGUGCUGUUUAGUGGGGGGUCUGGUGCUAACUUUUUGGUAGGAAUUUCACUUCUGCCCUAAAAAAGCAACCUGCAAAUGUCCAACUGAUAAUAGUUCCAAUGUGCAUUUUCUUGCUCAGACCAUGAAACCUCUUACAACAGCGACAAUGUGAGAGAUAAUCGUAAAAAUAAACAGAAAUACCGGGUGAAUCAUGUAUGUUCAUACUAUGGCAGUUAUCUUCAGUCAGUGAGCGAGAAUGGACCUGAGCUGCAAUCCUCGCUUUUCUCUAUUCCUUUUAUGAAAUUUCAUUCAUGGUGAAAAUGUUCUCUCUUAAUACUGUUGUUGCAUCACCGUCUGAGAUAAUUUACUCCAGUUGUACAUAGGUAUCCAUCCUUUUCCUGCUCAAGUAUCAAGUGGAUGAUAUGUUGCUCUCACCUACAUCAUCUUUUCUUGCAGGCACCUUCUUCUUUCAGCUGCAAUAUUUAUUUGGAUCUCUCGGUUGUGAAGUGCCAUAUUUUCUACUUAUACUCUGCAGGCACAAUAUUACAGAUUUAUUUUCAAUCUUAGUAUGCCAUCUAUCCGAAUUUUGUAUAGCUUGCAUAGUGCCUAAUAUCAUGAGCUAAUGCUAAUAUUGUUUAUAGAGCUUUCAUAUUAUCAUGAUGACACCUUGGACCUGCUUGGCAGCAAAAAGAUGAACCAAACCCAAUGUGAUUCACCAUGUAGGCUUUUUUGGUGGAGCAAAAUGACGAAGGUUCUGAGAAUCGGAGGUAGUGUAGUAUAGCUUAUGACUACAUAGCUACCUUGUGGAUAUGUUGGCUAUAGAACCAAGUGUACAAACAUGUUUCCUUGUGAUUGUUUUGUUUUGGUUAUGUUCUGGUGCAAAUGGUUUUUCCAUGUGAGUUGCUCGCCGUGAGGUGGGCAACGCGCGGCAAGGCGCGCCACU
This 3488-nucleotide long non-coding RNA is filed under the name Triticum aestivum (bread wheat). RNAcentral describes it as "long non-coding RNA (TAES_LNC017277)". Lineage: Eukaryota; Viridiplantae; Streptophyta; Magnoliopsida; Poales; Poaceae. The record is from RNAcentral.